UGUCCAUUUUGCAGGUAGCUUAGGUAAGGAUGAUCGGAUAGCUGGGUGCUGGACGUUAGGACCACCGGUGUAGAUUUCCAUGCCUUUUGUAAACGGUAUUGUGGAUUUGUGUUUAGUUGACUCGAUUUCGCAUUAGGCCAGGACCGGUCUUGAAUUAUAUCAAUGUAUGGAUAUUUCUCGAAUCAAUAAAGUAAAUGUUUUAUAUGCGCUUCAUGAGUACUCUGAUAUUUGACGAGUCCGGUCUAACACAAAGUUAGGUCGUAGUACGGGUUGAAAAGCCUUAGGCCUCGAUCUAACAGAAAAUGCUAACUCUUGGCCGGGUUGCAAAGCCUUGUGCCUUG
RNAcentral lists this long non-coding RNA (341 nucleotides) under Brassica napus (rape). Its description in RNAcentral is "long non-coding RNA (BNAP_LNC005136)". Lineage: Eukaryota; Viridiplantae; Streptophyta; Magnoliopsida; Brassicales; Brassicaceae. The record is from RNAcentral.